GUGCCCGUAGCUCAAUGGAUAGAGUGACAGAUUCCGAUUCUGGCGGUUGGAGGUUCGAGUCCUCUCGGGCGCGCCA
RNAcentral lists this transfer RNA (76 nucleotides) under Erysipelotrichaceae bacterium. RNAcentral's name for it is "tRNA-Arg". It matches the Rfam family "tRNA". Rfam says of the family: Transfer RNA (tRNA) molecules are approximately 80 nucleotides in length. Lineage: Bacteria; Bacillati; Bacillota; Erysipelotrichia; Erysipelotrichales; Erysipelotrichaceae. The record is from RNAcentral. RNAcentral also lists the same sequence under 1 other name.